AACCAAAUAAAAGUCCUAUUUGAUCUUGAGUGUGGUGUAGUUUACAAGUGGACAUGAUGGAUUGGGGUGAUGGUGUGGUAAUUUUAAUUCUCAGUAUUUGGUUUUCCAUUCAUGAGACUAUUUAUUUAUUCUUUCAUUAUAGCGUUUUUCCAAAAAAUUAGUAUGCGGGAUAUUUUGCCUUUGAUUUACAUUAUUCUACUCGCAUAUAUUGAGAGUAAUUUUCACACCAUAUUCUGAGUGAUUUAUUUGUUGAAUGCAAUAACUGGUGAGAUUUGAGUUGAAGCAUGUUUCAGAAUUUCACUUUAAGGCUAAGGUUGUGUCUGUGUUGGCUAAACUUUUUCACACACUCCAAAUUCUGAAUGUCUUGAGAUAUCUUUACUUGCUGCUAGUGUCUUGAACUUUGAUUGAUUAUUUUGUUAAGAUUGUGAAAUUCAUGACUUGUUCUUUAACAUUAGCAUGAGAACGAAAGAAAUCCUUUGAGUAAAGAAAUUUUUUGACGUUUGUGGGUAAUAUUUCUAGAAAUUUUAAUUCUCAGUAUUUGAUAUUCCAUUCAUUAGACUCUUUCAUAUUAGCGUUUUUCAAAAAAAUUAGUAUGCGGGAUAUUUUGCCUUGGAUUUACAUUGUUCUACUCGCAUAUAUUGAGAGCAAUUUUUGCACCAUAUUCUGAGUGAUUUAUUUGUUGAGUGCAAUAACUUGUGAGAUUUGAGUCGAAGCAUGUUUCAGAAAGAGAUUUGGGUUAUAUUUCACUUUAAGGCUAAGAUUGUGUCUGUGUUUGCUAAACUUUUUUCACACACUCCAAAUUUUGAAUGUCAUGAGAUAUCUUUAUUUGCUGCUAGUGUCUUGAACUUUGAUUGAUUAUCUUGUUAAGGUUGUGAAAUUCAUGGCUGGUUCUUUAACUUUGGCAUGAGAGUGAAAGAAAUCCUUUUAGUAAAGAAAUUUUUGGAUGUUUGUGGGUAACAUCUUUGGAAACCCUCACGAGACUUUUACUCGUCCACGAGGGGUAACCUAUUGGAUUAAGGGCUUGUUGCAUGUGCUAAAUUCAAUCGUGAUUUCUUGCAGAAGUGAUUUAGAGUUGUUGCUUUUAUUUUACUUUUUGAUUUUAUUUUAGUCACCCUAAUUGCUAGGUUCUAGCAAUAAAGCUGGUUGGGAGGUGUGAUGAAUGCUUAAAAUUACAUAGUUGUUCUAUGAAUUUUGGAUAUUAUAUUCAUUCUCUCAAUUUGUAUUUAAUUGUGAUUUAAUGAAUUUAAUUUAAAUUUGUAGAAAAACUACAUUUGAGCCUUCAACAAUAUCAAUUGCUCAACAAGGCCCAUAAGACUCGAUAUGCUUCUAAAUCAUCUCAUAACAUCCACAAAACCUCUCUCAAAGAUAAUAGCAAAAACGCUAAAUCUGACCGCAAUGUUGUCAAGGGUGCUCGGGCUGCUCGAAUUCAGCAAAACAAAUGUGAACUUUUAGACCCUGUUGUUGCUGAAGCUACACUGGACUUUCGAAAUCUUAACAAGAGAAAACUUUUAACUAAUUUCCUUACAUUUCUCCCUCAGGUAUGAUUUGAAAUUGGCAUGAUUCUUUGCUUGGGGUUUAGUUUCUUUAUUUGACUGAAUUUUCAGAUUUAGAAGUAGAAAAGAAGAAGUAUGAAACAUGUAUAUCAAAUAUUUUGAUUUGAAAAAUCGUUUCUAAGUGUGUUUCCAGCAUUGAUGUCUCUUGGGUCAUUUGUUCAGCUAUUUCCAUCUCUUGUUGACUUACCAAGUAAGCUUGUUUUUCAGGCAUGGUUGUUAAUUCUCUACACAGGUUUGGCUUUGCGAGAGAACAUACUUAGAGUGAAUGGAAGUGAUAUUCGCCCAUGGUAAUUUGAUAUGAUCUUAUAUGCAUUUGGUUGAAUUUUGUGCUAAGAUUGCCUUGCCUUUAUUCUUCAUCAUUUAAACUAUUUGUGUAUUUGUGAUUGAGAUUUUUUUAAAACAUAUUUUCAUAGUCAGACAUUAGUAAUUUCAUCUCCCAUGCCUUUCAGGAGGGAAAGUGAAUAUGCAAUUUUACUGGCAAUGAAUUUCUGCUAUAAAAUAGAGUUGCUAGAAGAAUCUUUUGACUUCAAUGCUUAAAAUUAUAGCAUGAUAUUCAGUAAAUGAAUUUAUACAGUUUGUUGUCAAACUGCAUAUUGCAAUGAAUUAGAAAAUGAACAGAGGGUACAUGGGCAAUUAGUUAGUUUUUACUUUUAAUUAGUACAUGGGCAAAAUUAUAAUUCUAUUAGAUGGAGUAAACAACACUAGUCAUUAUCAUUUUAUUUUUAUUAUUAUUAUUAUUAUUAUUAUUAUUUAUUUGAAUAACUAAACUAUUUUCAGCAGCAAAGAGUAGACACAAAUAUUGCAGAUGGCUGUGAUGCUCUGAAUCUGGGUGUGGCUGCUGAUAGCCUUUGGUUGUUUUUAUUUGUGGUGUUUGGCUUGGGGUUUGAUCUUGUAGUUGAAGGUUGGUAAUGGCGAAGAUUGCAUACCUCGUAAUGGACGAUGGAAUUUUAACAAGGUAUUCCCUUGGUUUCGUUAUGAUAAUGGAAGAGAAGUGUUCCAACUUUAGGUAGAGGGUUGCAGAAAUUGAUAAUUCUUUUACAUUCCCUAUUUUGCUUAAAUUCAGGAACUUUGUGAACUAAUUUGGCAGUUACUUGUUCUUGUUUUAUUCUUUUAAAGCAACUCUUUACCCCCAUCCGAAUAGAACGGUGGGAAGUUGUCAACUUCUCUGCUCAUUGUGAUACAAGUCAUCUUUCCUGAGAACUUAUUAACUGUGGAAGGAACAAGGGCUUUGUAAGUACCCUGUAUUUGUUUCUAUGAUGGGUAUUAUUGUUUCAAACAAGCUUUGCUUGAUAUAAUUAAUUGUUUUCUUUACACUCAGAAUAUUCCUUUUUGUCUUGAAGGAAGAACAUUAGAAUCCUUGAUUUUUUUAUUUUUUAUUUUUUAUUUUUACUAUAAUGCGAUGUUGGUUGUAGGCAUCAGGCUCAGGAUAAGCGGGUUUGUGUUUGCUUCAUGAUCCAAGCAUCAUAGCUUUUGUGUUGCUGCGGUUUUGACAAGUUUCUGGUUAUGCACUAGAAUUGUUUGUGGCAAGGUCUCAGAGAGGGAUUUUGGGAUUUUGGACUUGUUUUGUUUGUACUUAGCUCUUGUAAGUGUUGAAUAGAUCUGGGUCAUCCAUUUUUGUGGGGCCCAAAAAUGGGUUACCCAGAUCUGUUUGUGACAUGGCCUCCUCAGAUUUUUGAUCUUUGGAUCUGUUGUCUUUUAAAAUGAGGCCUUUGGCUGUCCUGUUUGCGUUUCUUCCUCUGUUUGGUUGAUUGAUUGAUUAAAUCUGUGUCAACAAUCUUGAGAUAUAAAUGUUAGUUUAAUGUGUGCAGGAGAUAAAUAAGAUGUGGGCAGGUUUUAGGUUAUUACAGACGGGCACGAUAUCUACUAGAGAUGAGCUCUUUUUUUGACUCUUGUGCAUCUAGAUAUUUGUAACACUAUUUGAUAUGAAUCUAUUUCUUGUUGGAUUUCAUUUGAUAUUUAAAAUGGCAUUCUUAAUGGAUAGGAUGUGCUCUUUCAAGUUCAUCAGUUGACAGCGAUGCUAACCAAUUUCUUAUUCUCUAUGGCAAGAGACUCCAUGUGAGCUACUAAGCAGAUUCUGACGCUGUAUCUACGGAAUGGGAAGUUGAGAGUGAUGAUGAAACUGAGGAAGAAUCUGAAUGUGGGUUAACAACUUUGGUUUACAUGCCUCUUAACAGUUUUCCAUCUACAGUUUCUAAAGAAACUUUUGAACUCAAGAUCAAGGCUGCAGCAAAGAGGAUCUAUGUUGAUGUUGAUUGGCAAUGGUGGAAAACAGUUCGGGCUGCAUCAGAAGAUUUGAUUUUGUUUUUUUGGAAAUAUUUUGACAUAGGAUUUUGGUAAAUGAUUUAUAGAUUAGAUGUUUAGCAUCAAAA
This is a non-coding RNA of Camellia sinensis, 3922 nucleotides long. Lineage: Eukaryota; Viridiplantae; Streptophyta; Magnoliopsida; Ericales; Theaceae. The record is from RefSeq and is a predicted model, not a curated record.